AAGAUGAAAGGAAGUCAUGAAGGAAAAGCCUGCUGAAAGGUGUGUCAAUAAAAGGACUCAAUCUUCAAAAUAAUUAAUUUACAGUUUAUUAAAGUUUCCCACCACAGUUGGAACCAACCAGCGACAAUGCCGGACAGAACCCCAGACCAACCAGGGAGCGGAUUCUAGUCAACCCUUUUGUGAAACAAUCAGAAACCAGUGUGGUAGUCUUGAAUAACUGUCAAAAUACAAUAAAUAAAUCUGUAUGUUCGCAAUUACAGUAUGUCAAUUCUUUGGAGCUAUGUCUCUGCUGACCUCCAUUUUGGCCACUGAGAAUAAAGUCUCUGAUUUUGUGUUUAA
Long non-coding RNA from Anolis carolinensis (green anole), 339 nucleotides. RefSeq lists it as uncharacterized. The record is from RefSeq and is a predicted model, not a curated record. The transcript is spliced from 2 exons. NCBI's taxonomy places the organism in Eukaryota, Metazoa, Chordata, Lepidosauria, Squamata, Anolidae.